AUGGCGGAUGCACCUCUCUACAAGCAGCGCCGCAAGUACACCAGGGCGCUCCAUGACGUCCACCUCCACGGCAAUCACAAGCUCCACGUCCUUUGCACAAGCAAGGGCAAAGACGUGGACAAGAUGUUGUCCAUGUUCAGGAGGAAGCUCGGCGGAAUGCCCGUCAAACUAGUCGGUGUUGAUGUCGAGUACACACACUAUGAGAAGCCACAGCAUGCAGUGGUGCUACAGCUAUGCAUACAAAAAGAAUGCCUUGUCUACCACAUAUCUGCAGCUAAAGACAGGCAAAUGGAACUAGACAAAUUCCUGAUGAAUGAUGAGUACCCCUUCGUCGGAUUCGCUAUUGAAGGAGACAAAAGCAAGCUGAAGGUAUCUAGUUUGGAGAUCAACUCCGACAACUACAUUGAUAUUCAGGUGGAAUGGAGAGACCCAUACAAUAAAAAGAAGUUUGACUCUUUGGCUGAUGUUGCUGGCAGGAUGAUAGACAUUCACUACCAUGACAUGAAGAAAAAAAUU
RNAcentral lists this ribosomal RNA (516 nucleotides) under Triticum aestivum (bread wheat). RNAcentral describes it as "partial small subunit ribosomal RNA". Lineage: Eukaryota; Viridiplantae; Streptophyta; Magnoliopsida; Poales; Poaceae. The record is from RNAcentral.